RNAcentral lists this long non-coding RNA (307 nucleotides) under Mytilus galloprovincialis (Mediterranean mussel). The record is from RNAcentral. Lineage: Eukaryota; Metazoa; Mollusca; Bivalvia; Mytilida; Mytilidae.
UUUCUUUUUAUCUUUAAUGAAAGAGUUGUAUUUAUUAAAAAAAAUAUAGAUAAAUAAGUGUAUGAAUGAACACAUAGAAUCUCUAUUUUAUGAGUAUCAAUAUUUUAUCAAACAGAAAUAAAUUCAAUAAACCCUUCUGAAAAUUGAUGCCUUCUAGCAAAUAACAUCUGUUCAGUCUGGCAUACUAGCAGAGAACAGCAAGAGAUGAAAUAAAAUGGUGUUAAAUAUAGAUCUGAAUAUCCUCUUUCUCAACAUCUUGAUAACAUAAAUAGAUAUUUAAAGUUACCCUAGAUUUGUUCCUACAAAA